CUUCUAGAAGCUUCUCAGAGACCUAAAUAAAGUUUGAAAAGUUCUAAGAAUGGUAAGGCCUUCUAUGGAAGAAAAAUUUUUUUCAAUGUCUCAAGUCUCCAAAGGAAACAGCCAUUCAAACAUACAAAGCAACUAGAACAGGUAAGAGAAAAUCAAUGCAUUCAAACAAAUAGGCAAACGCAACUUGAUUUAUACUUUGAAGAAAGUAAGAUGAGACUAUAAUAGACAUGCAUUAGCAUGAUCAAGUUGUCACUAUGUGUUCUCUAAUUAAAUUUGUAUAAUCCAGAGAGCACUAAAUAAUAAAUAAAGAAAUAAAACCAAUGCAAAGUUCUUCAAUGUCCUUGCCUUGCCCAAAUUAUUUUGGGGGCAGCUGCAGAUACUGUGUCAUUUUGAAUCACUGUCCGAUGAUGGAUAGCUAUAGCAUACAAGAAAUCAUGUUUCCUUCAUAUCUGGUUUUCUAUUUCUUUAUGGCUUCUGUAUCUCUUUCAAUUUUUAAUUAAGCACCAUAAACAAACAUAAGCUGUGAAACCAAAAAAUAUCCAUGAAAAAAGAGUUGGAAAUUCUCAAUGAGCAAAUAGUUUGUCCACAGAAAAGGUCAGGCACGAAUUGCUCAAAUCCUAAGCAGCUAAAGAUUUUCUAAGCUCUAAAUGGAACUUCUUUUAUAUCACCAGCCAUGAAAGCUUACUUAACUUGUAGGAUGUCGAUACUACAAUUACAAUUAUUAUCAAUUUGGAAGCCUGAUGCAUAUGAUACUCCAUCUAAAAAUUUUAAGAAUACACACAAGAUACUAACUUUUAUGAAAUGUUUUGAGAGGACAAAGAAAAAUCAUGCUUCAUAAAGCAAUCGCAAGGUCCCAAAGAUCAACUCGGUUUCAGAAAAGCUUAUAAGCUCAUGUACAGAAAAUGUAUAAUUUUUGUUUAAUCAGGAGCACAAAUAAUAAUCCAAUCACACAUGUAUGCACACACCAACACACCUGUCUUGCUAUCACUUGACCA
RNAcentral lists this unclassified non-coding RNA (995 nucleotides) under Hevea brasiliensis (rubber tree). The record is from RNAcentral. Lineage: Eukaryota; Viridiplantae; Streptophyta; Magnoliopsida; Malpighiales; Euphorbiaceae.